GGUUAGCGGCGGACGGGUGAGUAACGCGUGGGNAUAUGCCCUUUGGUACGGAAUAGCCCCGGGAAACUGGGAGUAAUACCGUAUACGCCCUUUGGGGGAAAGAUUUAUCGGCAAAGGAUUAGCCCGCGUUGGAUUAGGUAGUUGGUGGGGUNAUGGCCUACCAAGCCGACGAUCCAUAGNUGGUUUGAGAGGAUGAUCAGCCACACUGGGANUGAGACACGGCCCAGACUCCUACGGGAGGCAGCAGUGGGGAAUNUUAGACAAUGGGGGCAACCCUGAUNUAGCCAUGCCGCGUGAGUGAUGAAGGCCCUAGGGUUGU
Molecule: ribosomal RNA, 319 nt
Filed under: Paracoccus sp. 33
Lineage: Bacteria; Pseudomonadati; Pseudomonadota; Alphaproteobacteria; Rhodobacterales; Paracoccaceae
Description: bacterial SSU rRNA
Rfam family: Bacterial small subunit ribosomal RNA
Source: RNAcentral